GUGAUGAGCAGUGCCUGCUUUUCUCCACACAUACCGCUUAGAAUUAACACCAAAAAGUUCAAUCUUGGUCUCAUCAGACCAGAGAAUCUUAUUUCUCAUAGUCUGGGAGUCCUUCAUGUGUUUUUUGGCAAACUCUAUGCAGGCUUUCAUGUGUCUUGCACUGAGGAGAGGCUUCUGUCGGGCCACUCUGCCAUAAAGCCCCGACUGGUGGAGGGCUGCAGUGAUAGUUGACUUUGUGGAACUUUCUCCUAUCUCCCGACUGCAUCUCUGGAGCUCAGCCACAGUGAUCUUUGGGUUCUUCUUUACCUCUCUCACCAAGGCUCUUCUCCCACCGUUGCUCAGUUUGGCUGGACGGCCAGGUCUAGGAAGAGUUGUGGUCGUCCCAAACUUCUUCCAUUUGAGGAUUAUGGAGGCCACUGUGCUCUGAAGAACCUUGAGUGGUCUAGAAAUUCUUUUGUAACCUUGGCCAGAUCUGUGCUUUGCCACAAUUCUGUCUCUGAGCUCCUUGGGCAGUUCCUUCGACCUCAUGAUUCUCAUUUGCUCUGACAUGCACUGUGAGCUGUAAGGUCUUAUAUAGACAGGUGUGUGCUUUUCCUAAUCAAGUCCAAUCAGUUUAAUUAAACACAGCUGGACUCCAAUAAAGAAGCAGAACCAUCUCGAGGAGGAUCAGAAGAAAUGGACAGCAUGUGAGUUAAAUAUGAAUGUCGCUGCAAAGGGUCUGAAUACUUCUGACCAUGUGAUAUUUCAGUUUUUCUUUUUUAAUAAAUUUGCAAAAAUUUCUACA
Acanthochromis polyacanthus (spiny chromis) is the source of this 784-nucleotide long non-coding RNA. RefSeq lists it as uncharacterized. The transcript has 2 exons. NCBI's taxonomy places the organism in Eukaryota, Metazoa, Chordata, Actinopteri, Pomacentridae. The record is from RefSeq and is a predicted model, not a curated record.